GACGAACGCUGGCGGCGUGCUUAACACAUGCAAGUCGAACGGAAAGGCCCUGCUUUUGUGGGGUGCUCGAGUGGCGAACGGGUGAGUAACACGUGAGUAACCUGCCCUUGACUUUGGGAUAACUUCAGGAAACUGGGGCUAAUACCGGAUAGGAGCUCCUGCUGCAUGGUGGGGGUUGGAAAGUUUCGGCGGUCGGGGAUGGACUCGCGGCUUAUCAGCUUGUUGGUGGGGUAGUGGCUUACCAAGGCUUUGACGGGUAGCCGGCCUGAGAGGGUGACCGGCCACAUUGGGACUGAGAUACGGCCCAGACUCCUGCGGGAGGCAGCAGUGGGGAAUAUUGCACAAUGGGCGGAAGCCUGAUGCAGCAACGCCGCGUGCGGGAUGACGGCCUUCGGGUGGUAAACCGCUUUCGCCUGUGACGAAGCGUGAGGGACGGUAAUGGGUAAAGAAGCACCGGCUAACUACGU
RNAcentral lists this ribosomal RNA (467 nucleotides) under uncultured bacterium. RNAcentral describes it as "partial 16S ribosomal RNA". It matches the Rfam family "Bacterial small subunit ribosomal RNA", at positions 28 to 506 of the family's 1533-position model. The record is from RNAcentral.